Molecule: ribosomal RNA, 319 nt
Filed under: uncultured eukaryote
Lineage: Eukaryota
Description: partial 18S ribosomal RNA
Rfam family: Eukaryotic small subunit ribosomal RNA
Source: RNAcentral
CCCUUAGAUGUUCUGGGCUGCACGCGUGCUACAAUGGCGUUUCCAGCAAGUCUGCGAACCCGAGAGGGCCAGCGGAUCUUCGAAUUGGCGUCGUGAUCGGGACAGUCGAUUGCAAUUAUUUGACUCAAACGAGGAAUUCCUUGUAAUCGCGAUUCAUCAUAUCGCGCUGAAUAUGUCCCUGCCCUUUGUACACACCGCCCGUCGCUCCUACCGAUUGAGCGAUCCGGUAAAUGUUUUGGAUUGGUGCCGGGGCGGCUAGCUGCCGGUCGCUACGAAAUUUUGUGAACCUUAUCGCUUAGAGGAAGGAAAAGUCGUAACA